ACUGCCAAUCAUCCUCCCCGAGUUUCGGUCCUGAAAUUCACAAUGAGAGUCAAAGAAAACAACACGAAAGUGAGAGUUUUUGGAUAAUUUACUGGCAGACAACAACUUGCGGGUCAGUUUAGGAACAUGAAGGACAGAGUGAAGAGUAAUAUUUUGUAAAAAUUUUAUUUGAACUUUUCCUACAAUGGGUGAGAAAUUGCCAUCAGCAAUCCUAACUCUUUCACUUUCAGAAUAAAAUAAAUAAGUAUUGAAUAAAGAAGAGAAAGAAGUCAUGUGAUCAGAUGCCCCCGAAUGUACAUCUGGAUAGACUGAAACCAACGCAAGAAAUUAUCACCGUUGAGUUUAAUGCUGGUGAUUUGCACCGAGUGAGAAUCAAUGUUGGAGACAUGUUUGUCAAUGUUUUUCGGUGAAACAGUAACAGUGGAUUCAGAUGUGGUUUCUGAUAUGGUGAAGGACAACUUGCUGGUUCUAGGAUUACCUCAGAAGGGUCAAAGAAUAAGUCCUCAGCUUUGAUACCAUGAAAGCUAGAAAGAACAAUAUUUCUUAUUCUCAUAUUUAAACAAUGUACAUAGCACCUCUAUUUAUAGGAGAUACAAGGCAUAAAAUUAGGAAUUGAUUAGCUAUUAAUUAGCUACUGAUUUUGAGGACUGAUUAGCUAUUAUUUAGCUACUAAUUUUGAUCCUAAUAAACUUUCCUAUUCUAUAGUAUUGACUAAAUCAAAAUGUUUACAGUUGUGAUAUCCAAAAGAAUUCAACCAUAUCCUGGAAGAAUUAUUUUCUUUCCAUUUCCAAUAUUGAAUAUAGUUGAUAUUUGUUAGUUUUCCUUUUCUCAGCUUCUGUGGCGCAUAGGCAUUGUUCGUCAUGCUAUGCUUUUUAAGGGGUAAGUGUUUUAUUGCCAUAAAAGAGGAUUUACAAUGAAGUUCAUGACAUGCCAAAGGCAAUACCCCCUCUAAAAGAGAGCUUACGCCUAGCCUGUAGAACAAUUAUUAAACCUCAACAAUUGGCAUUUUAGGAUAGAAAUUUGUGUGCUUUGCAAAUCCUUAGAGCCUCAAGAGAAAAUUGAGAAACUAAUUGGCAUGAGUAGUAUUUUAUUUUUGAGUUACUGCUUAUGUCUACAAAUUGGCUUUCAUAUUUAACCAAAAAAAAAAAGAAAAACAAAAGAAAAAACAAGAAUAGGGUUAAGUUGGUAGUUUAUUGGUGGUAGUUGCUACAUAAUUGAUGUCUGUUGGGCUAUAUAUAAUAAAUUCACGUGUUUUUUGGGAGAUAAAUGUAGACCUUUUUUUAUUCACUAGCAACUAAGCAGCGAGUAGUAACACAAGUGAUGAAGACUAAAGAAUUCCUCAACUGAACAGUGUGUCAACAACCAGGUAAUCUUAGUUAUCACUCAAGAAUUCCUUCACUUACAUUGUUGCCAUUGCUUGGAAAUGGAGACUAAAUUGGGCGUAGGUUUUUUUUGGUUUUUAUUUUUUUCAUUUAUCCUUUUUGAUGUUGUGAUGCAAAGCGUCAUUCUUUGGAAGUUGACAUGGGCAUGGAGAUAGAAGGUGAUGGGCGUGCCCGCAUAUCUUCAACUCGAUCUGGAAGCAGAUCUCGUCUUGCCUCCUGCACCAGCUGACAGAGUUGACAACCAGAAAAACUACAUUUGAGCCUUCAACAAUAUCAAUUGCUCAACAAGGCCCAUAAGACUCGGUAUGCUUCUAAAUCAUCUCAUAACAUCCACAAAACCUCUCUCAAAGAUAAUAGCAAAAACGCUAGAUUUGACCGCAAUGUUGUCAAGGGUGCUCGGGCUGCUCGAAUUCAGCAAAACAAAUGCUUUUCAUCGAAUAAAGGAUAAUAUUUCUAUUGCCUAAAGGCAGGAUUGCAUAUUUUUGUCGAUAAGGGAGCAGAAAAGUGAACUUUUAGACCCUGUUGUUGCUGAAGCUACACUGGACUUUCGGAAUCUUAACAAGAGAAAACUUUUAACUAAUUUCCUUACAUUUCUCCCUCAGAUUUGAAAAAUCGUUUCUAAGUGUGUUUCCAGCAUUGAUGUCUCC
Molecule: non-coding RNA, 2029 nt
Organism: Camellia sinensis
Lineage: Eukaryota; Viridiplantae; Streptophyta; Magnoliopsida; Ericales; Theaceae
Source: RefSeq, a predicted model, not a curated record